This 74-nucleotide transfer RNA is filed under the name Salmo salar (Atlantic salmon). It matches the Rfam family "tRNA". Rfam says of the family: Transfer RNA (tRNA) molecules are approximately 80 nucleotides in length. Their secondary structure includes four short double-helical elements and three loops (D, anti-codon, and T loops). Lineage: Eukaryota; Metazoa; Chordata; Actinopteri; Salmoniformes; Salmonidae. The record is from Rfam by way of RNAcentral.
GGCCGGUUAGCUCAGUUGGUUAGAGCUUGGUGCUAAUAAUGCCAAGGUCGUGGGUUCGAUCCCCAUACUGGCCA